AUGCAGAUGACGAAUCCCAAAUAGGACGAAACGCGUGUCCUGAAU
Molecule: non-coding RNA, 45 nt
Filed under: Schistosoma margrebowiei
Lineage: Eukaryota; Metazoa; Platyhelminthes; Trematoda; Strigeidida; Schistosomatidae
Source: RNAcentral